GUCUUAGACACUCAGUUUUACAAACAGUGUAAAAUGUGUCCUUUUCUUCUGAAAAUCUAGGUCAUGUCAAAUUAACUCUCAGAACCAGAGGAGCCUUGUGAAGAUGGGAGUGGAGAUGUCUCCUCCACACAGAGUUAAGGAACAAAAGUUGGAGAAGCAUCUAGAGACAGCAAUAGAGAGGGUGAAUGAUGCACUCACAGGUGGAGUAGAGGCUGGCGAGGAACAUUACAGAGAGCUCUGGG
RNAcentral lists this long non-coding RNA (242 nucleotides) under Fukomys damarensis (Damara mole-rat). RNAcentral describes it as "lncRNA (ENSFDAG00000028704.1)". Lineage: Eukaryota; Metazoa; Chordata; Mammalia; Rodentia; Bathyergidae. The record is from RNAcentral.